CCUACGGGUGACAGCAGUGAGGAAUAUUGGUCAAUGGACGCAAGUCUGAACCAGCCAAGCCGCGUGAAGGAAGACGGCUCUAUGAGUUGUAAACUGCUUUUGUCCGGGGGUAAACGCAGAUACGCGUAUCUGUCUGAAAGUAUCGUACGAAUAAGGAUCGGCUAACUCCGUGCCAGCAGCCGCGGUAAUACGGAGGAUUCAAGCGUUAUCCGGAUUUAUUGGGGUUAAAGGGUGCGUAGGCGGUCGGAUAAGUUAGCGGUGAAAUCCCGAGGCUCAACCUCCGAAGUGCCUUUGAUACUGGUGUGCUAGAGAGUAGGUGAGGUAGGCGGAAUGUAUGGUGUAGCGGUGAAAUGCUUAGAGAUCAUACAGAACACCGAUUGCGAAGGCAGCUUACCAAGCCACUUCUGACGUUGAGGCACGAAAGCGUGGGGAGCGAACAGGAUUAGAUACCCUUGUAGUC
Molecule: ribosomal RNA, 460 nt
Filed under: uncultured bacterium
Lineage: Bacteria
Description: partial 16S ribosomal RNA
Rfam family: Bacterial small subunit ribosomal RNA
Source: RNAcentral